Molecule: ribosomal RNA, 301 nt
Filed under: uncultured bacterium
Lineage: Bacteria
Description: partial 16S ribosomal RNA
Rfam family: Bacterial small subunit ribosomal RNA
Source: RNAcentral
CAGUCGCCGCGGUAAUACGAAGGGGGCUAGCGUUGCUCGGAAUUACUGGGCGUAAAGGGAGCGUAGGCGGAUCGUUAAGUUGGGGGUGAAAGCCCGGGGCUCAACCCCGGAACUGCCUUCAAUACUGGCGAUCUUGAGUAUGAGAGAGGUGUGUGGAACUCCGAGUGUAGAGGUGAAAUUCGUAGAUAUUCGGAAGAACACCAGUGGCGAAGGCGACACACUGGCUCAUUACUGACGCUGAGGCUCGAAAGCGUGGGGAGCGAACAGGAUUAGAUACCCCAGUAGUCCCUGUCUCUUAUAC